UGCUAUACAUGCAGUCGAGCGAACAGACGAGGAGCUUGCUCCUCUGACGUUAGCGGCGGACGGGUGAGUAACACGUGGAUAACCUACCUAUAAGACUGGGAUAACUUCGGGAAACCGGAGCUAAUACCGGAUAAUAUAUUGAACCGCAUGGUUCAAUAGUGAAAGACGGUUUUGCUGUCACUUAUAGAUGGAUCCGCGCCGCAUUAGCUAGUUGGUAAGGUAACGGCUUACCAAGGCAACGAUGCGUAGCCGACCUGAGAGGGUGAUCGGCCACACUGGAACUGAGACACGGUCCAGACUCCUACGGGAGGCAGCAGUAGGGAAUCUUCCGCAAUGGGCGAAAGCCUGACGGAGCAACGCCGCGUGAGUGAUGAAGGUCUUCGGAUCGUAAAACUCUGUUAUUAGGGAAGAACAAAUGUGUAAGUAACUAUGCACGUCUUGACGGUACCUAAUCAGAAAGCCACGGCUAACUACGUGCCAGCA
This 483-nucleotide ribosomal RNA is filed under the name Staphylococcus epidermidis. Its description in RNAcentral is "bacterial SSU rRNA". It matches the Rfam family "Bacterial small subunit ribosomal RNA", at positions 45 to 513 of the family's 1533-position model. The record is from RNAcentral. Lineage: Bacteria; Bacillati; Bacillota; Bacilli; Caryophanales; Staphylococcaceae.